This 898-nucleotide ribosomal RNA is filed under the name uncultured Bacillota bacterium. Its description in RNAcentral is "bacterial SSU rRNA". It matches the Rfam family "Bacterial small subunit ribosomal RNA", at positions 11 to 917 of the family's 1533-position model. The record is from RNAcentral. Lineage: Bacteria; Bacillati; Bacillota.
CUUUGAUCCUGGCUCAGGAUAAACGCUGGCGGCGCACAUAAGACAUGCAAGUCGAACGGACUUAACUCAUUCUUUUAGAUUGAGAGCGGUUAGUGGCGGACUGUGAGUAACACGUAAGCAACCUGCCUAUCAGAGGGGAAUAACAGUGAGAAAUCAUUGCUAAUACCGCAUAUGCUCACAGUACCACAUGGUACAGUGAGGAAAGGAGCAAUCCGCUGAUAGAUGGGCUUGCGUCUGAUUAGCUAGUUGGUGGGGUAACGGCCUACCAAGGCGACGAUCAGUAGCCGGACUGAGAGGUUGAACGGCCACAUUGGGACUGAGAUACGGCCCAGACUCCUACGGGAGGCAGCAGUCGGGAAUAUUGCGCAAUGGAGGAAACUCUGACGCAGUGACGCCGCGUAUAGGAAGAAGGUUUUCGGAUUGUAAACUAUUGUCGUUAGGGAAGAUAAAAGACUGUACCUAAGGAGGAAGCCCCGGCUAACUAUGUGCCAGCAGCCGCGGUAAUACAUAGGGGGCAAGCGUUAUCCGGAAUUAUUGGGUGUAAAGGGUGCGUAGACGGAAGAACAAGUUGGUUGUGAAAUCCCUCGGCUCAACUGAGGAACUGCAACCAAAACUAUUCUCCUUGAGUGUCGGAGAGGAAAGUGGAAUUCCUAGUGUAGCGGUGAAAUGCGUAGAUAUUAGGAGGAACACCAGUGGCGAAGGCGACUUUCUGGACGAUAACUGACGUUGAGGCACGAAAGUGUGGGGAGCAAACAGGAUUAGAUACCCUGGUAGUCCACACUGUAAACGAUGGAUACUAGGUGUAGGGUGUAUUAAGCACUCUGUGCCGCCGCUAACGCAUUAAGUAUCCCACCUGGGGAGUACGACCGCAAGGUUGCAACUCAAAGGAAUUGACGGA